Molecule: ribosomal RNA, 429 nt
Filed under: Chloroflexota bacterium
Lineage: Bacteria; Bacillati; Chloroflexota
Description: Chloroflexi bacterium partial 16S ribosomal RNA
Rfam family: Bacterial small subunit ribosomal RNA
Source: RNAcentral
UGGGGAAUAUUGCACAAUGGGCGCAAGCCUGAUGCAGCCAUGCCGCGUGUGUGAAGAAGGCCUUUGGGUUGUAAAGCACUUUCAGCGGGGAGGAAGGCGGUGAGGUUAAUAACCUCAUCGAUUGACGUUACCCGCAGAAGAAGCACCGGCUAACUCCGUGCCAGCAGCCGCGGUAAUACGGAGGGUGCAAGCGUUAAUCGGAAUUACUGGGCGUAAAGCGCACGCAGGCGGUUUGUUAAGUCAGAUGUGAAAUCCCCGGGCUCAACCUGGGAACUGCAUCUGAUACUGGCAAGCUUGAGUCUCGUAGAGGGGGGUAGAAUUCCAGGUGUAGCGGUGAAAUGCGUAGAGAUCUGGAGGAAUACCGGUGGCGAAGGCGGCCCCCUGGACGAAGACUGACGCUCAGGUGCGAAAGCGUGGGGAGCAAACAGG